CAAGGUAGAGCAUGAAAUUCAAUGCAUCCCACUUACAAUGGGGGAAUAGAUAUUUUCUUGCCUUGA
Molecule: transfer RNA, 66 nt
Filed under: Perinereis cultrifera
Lineage: Eukaryota; Metazoa; Annelida; Polychaeta; Phyllodocida; Nereididae
Description: tRNA-Val
Source: RNAcentral